RNAcentral lists this long non-coding RNA (232 nucleotides) under Lathyrus oleraceus (garden pea). Its description in RNAcentral is "Pisum sativum (pea) long non-coding RNA (PSAT_LNC014487)". The record is from RNAcentral. Lineage: Eukaryota; Viridiplantae; Streptophyta; Magnoliopsida; Fabales; Fabaceae.
AAUAAUUCAAAUGCAACGGCUAACAAGGUGGCGCAUUCUAAUUGGGUGAAACAUUUGAAUUUGGCUCCAACGCAUGCGAAACACUUCAUCUUCAACCUCAAAACUUGUGAUUUUGCAACAUCAUGAACUCGUGUUUUUAACAUGAAUCAAACAUGGAUUCCGAUGCGAAACACUUCACCGUUCAUGUCUCCUUGCAUCAAAGUAAUUAAUUUUCUAUAAGGAGGGAAAAUUU